This 118-nucleotide small nuclear RNA is filed under the name Esox lucius (northern pike). RNAcentral's name for it is "U5 spliceosomal RNA". It matches the Rfam family "U5 spliceosomal RNA". Rfam says of the family: U5 RNA is a component of both types of known spliceosome. The precise function of this molecule is unknown, though it is known that the 5' loop is required for splice site selection and p220 binding, and that both the 3' stem-loop and the Sm site are important for Sm protein binding and cap methylation. The record is from Rfam by way of RNAcentral. Lineage: Eukaryota; Metazoa; Chordata; Actinopteri; Esociformes; Esocidae.
CAACUCUGGUUUCUCUUCAAUCACGCACAAGUUUUUCGCCUUUUACUAAAGACUUCCGUGGAGAGCAACGCUUACGAGUUCAACGUAUUUUUGGACGGGCUUGCUCCCGGCAGAGCCC